RNAcentral lists this ribosomal RNA (263 nucleotides) under uncultured cyanobacterium. RNAcentral's name for it is "partial 16S ribosomal RNA". It matches the Rfam family "Bacterial small subunit ribosomal RNA", at positions 1272 to 1533 of the family's 1533-position model. Lineage: Bacteria; Bacillati; Cyanobacteriota. The record is from RNAcentral. RNAcentral also lists the same sequence under 1 other name.
UCCCAUAAACCGUGGCUCAGUUCAGAUCGUAGGCUGCAACUCGCCUACGUGAAGGAGGAAUCGCUAGUAAUCGCAGGUCAGCAUACUGCGGUGAAUACGUUCCCGGGCCUUGUACACACCGCCCGUCACACCAUGGAAGUUGGCCACGCCCGAAGCCGUUACUCCAACCCUUGUGGAGGAGGACGUCGAAGGUGGGGCUGAUGACUGGGGUGAAGUCGUAACAAGGUAUCCGUACCGGAAGGUGCGGAUGGAUCACCUCCUAA